Ictidomys tridecemlineatus (thirteen-lined ground squirrel) is the source of this 72-nucleotide non-coding RNA. Lineage: Eukaryota; Metazoa; Chordata; Mammalia; Rodentia; Sciuridae. The record is from Rfam.
GGGGAUGUAGCUCAAUGGUAGAGCACCUGACUAGCAUACAUGAGGUCCUGGGUUACAUCCCAGGCAUCACAU